GUGCUCGCUUGGGCAGCACAUAUACUAAAAUUGGAACAAUGCAGAGAUUAGCAUGGCCCCAUGUGCAAAGAUGACAUGCAAAUUGAUGAAGCGUUCCAUAUUAAA
This is a small nuclear RNA of Ochotona curzoniae (black-lipped pika), 105 nucleotides long. NCBI's taxonomy places the organism in Eukaryota, Metazoa, Chordata, Mammalia, Lagomorpha, Ochotonidae. The record is from RefSeq and is a predicted model, not a curated record.